UACGAAGGGGGCUAGCGUUGCUCGGAAUCACUGGGCGUAAAGCGCACGUAGGCGGACUCUUAAGUCAGGGGUGAAAUCCUGGAGCUCAACUCCAGAACUGCCUUUGAUACUGAGAGCCUUGAGUCCGGAAGAGGUAAGUGGAACUGCGAGUGUAGAGGUGAAAUUCGUAGAUAUUCGCAAGAACACCAGUGGCGAAGGCGGCUUACUGGUCCGGUACUGACGCUGAGGUGCGAAAGCGUGGGGAGCAAACAGG
RNAcentral lists this ribosomal RNA (253 nucleotides) under Variibacter sp. RNAcentral describes it as "partial 16S ribosomal RNA". It matches the Rfam family "Bacterial small subunit ribosomal RNA", at positions 524 to 776 of the family's 1533-position model. The record is from RNAcentral. Lineage: Bacteria; Pseudomonadati; Pseudomonadota; Alphaproteobacteria; Hyphomicrobiales; Nitrobacteraceae. RNAcentral also lists the same sequence under 1 other name.